GGAGCUGUAAGUAAGCUUUGAUCCAGAGAUUUCCGAAUGGGGAAACCCAGCAUGAGUUAUGUCAUGUUAUCGAUAUGUGAAUACAUAGCAUAUCAGAAGGCACACCCGGAGAACUGAAACAUCUUAGUACCCGGAGGAAGAGAAAGAAAAUUCGAUUCCCUUAGUAGCGGCGAGCGAAACGGGAAGAGCCCAAACCAACAAGCUUGCUUGUUGGGGUUGUAGGACACUCUAUACGGAGUUACAAAGGACGACAUUAGACGAAUCAUCUGGAAAGAUGAAUCAAAGAAGGUAAUAAUCCUGUAGUCGAAAAUGUUGUCUCUCUUGAGUGGAUCCUGAGUACGACGGAGCACGUGAAAUUCCGUCGGAAUCUGGGAGGACCAUCUCCUAAGGCUAAAUACUCUCUAGUGACCGAUAGUGAACCAGUACCGUGAGGGAAAGGUGAAAAGCACCCCGGAAGGGGAGUGAAAUAGAACCUGAAACCGUGUGCUUACAAGUAGUCAGAGCCCGUUAAUGGGUGAUGGCGUGCCUUUUGUAGAAUGAACCGGCGAGUUACGAUUUGAUGCAAGGUUAAGCAGUAAAUGUGGAGCCGUAGCGAAAGCGAGUCUGAAUAGGGCGUUUAGUAUUUGGUCGUAGACCCGAAACCAGGUGAUCUACCCUUGGUCAGGUUGAAGUUCAGGUAACACUGAAUGGAGGACCGAACCGACUUACGUUGAAAAGUGAGCGGAUGAACUGAGGGUAGCGGAGAAAUUCCAAUCGAACCUGGAGAUAGCUGGUUCUCUCCGAAAUAGCUUUAGGGCUAGCCUCAAGUGAUGAUUAUUGGAGGUAGAGCACUGUUUGGACGAGGGGCCCCUCUCGGGUUACCGAAUUCAGACAAACUCCGAAUGCCAAUUAAUUUAACUUGGGAGUC
RNAcentral lists this ribosomal RNA (907 nucleotides) under Staphylococcus aureus. RNAcentral's name for it is "partial 23S ribosomal RNA". It matches the Rfam family "Bacterial large subunit ribosomal RNA", at positions 82 to 985 of the family's 2925-position model. Lineage: Bacteria; Bacillati; Bacillota; Bacilli; Caryophanales; Staphylococcaceae. The record is from RNAcentral.